AUUGAACGCUGGCGGCAGGCCUAACACAUGCAAGUCGGACGAGCGGCGGACGGGAGAGGAAUGUAUGGGACCCUGCCUGAUGGAGGGGGAUAACUACUGGAAACGGUAGCUAAUACAGCAUACCAUCAGAUGUACCCAUAUGGGAUUAGCUGGUAGGUAAGGUAACGGCUUACCUAGGCGACGAUCCCUAGCUGGUCUGAGAGGAUGAUCAGCCACACUGGGACUGAGACACGGCCCAGACUCCUACGGGAGGCAGCAGUGGGGAAUAUUGCACAAUGGGCGCAAGCCUGAUGCAGCCAUGCCGCGUGUAUGAAGAAGGCCUUCGGGUUGUAAAGUACUUUCAGUCGGGAGGCGUUACCGGCAGAAGAAGCACCGGCUAACUCCGUGCCAGCAGCCGCGGUAAUAC
RNAcentral lists this ribosomal RNA (406 nucleotides) under uncultured bacterium. RNAcentral's name for it is "partial 16S ribosomal RNA". It matches the Rfam family "Bacterial small subunit ribosomal RNA", at positions 30 to 526 of the family's 1533-position model. The record is from RNAcentral.